Molecule: ribosomal RNA, 507 nt
Filed under: uncultured bacterium
Lineage: Bacteria
Description: partial 16S ribosomal RNA
Source: RNAcentral
GGAGUUAGCCGGUGCUUCUUCUGUGAGUGAUGUCCUUCCUGCCGGCUAUUAACCCGCAGGCCUUCUUCCUCACUGAAAGUGCUUUACAACCCGAAGGCCUUCUUCACACACGCGGCAUGGCUGGAUCAGGGUUGCCCCCAUUGUCCAAUAUUCCCCACUGCUGCCUCCCGUAGGAGUCUGGGCCGUGUCUCAGUCCCAGUGUGGCUGAUCAUCCUCUCAGACCAGCUACGGAUCGUCGCCUUGGUGAGCCGUUACCUCACCAACCAGCUAAUCCGACAUAGGCUCAUCCGAUAGCGCGAGGCCCGAAGGUCCCCCGCUUUCCCCCGUAGGGCGUAUGCGGUAUUAUCCUGGGUUUCCCCAGGUUAUCCCCCACUACCGGGCAGAUUCCUAUGCAUUACUCACCCGUCCGCCGCUCGCCACCAGGGAGCAAGCUCCCCGUGCUGCCGCUCGACUUGCAUGUGUUAGGCCUGCCGCCAGCGUUCAAUCUGAGCCAGAAUCAAACUCUGA